Molecule: ribosomal RNA, 493 nt
Filed under: uncultured bacterium
Lineage: Bacteria
Description: partial 16S ribosomal RNA
Rfam family: Bacterial small subunit ribosomal RNA
Source: RNAcentral
AUGAACGCUGGCGGCGUGCCUAAUACAUGCAAGUCGAGCGAACAGACGAGGAGCUUGCUCCUCUGACGUUAGCGGCGGACGGGUGAGUAACACGUGGAUAACCUACCUAUAAGACUGGGAUAACUUCGGGAAACCGGAGCUAAUACCGGAUAAUAUAUUGAACCGCAUGGUUCAAUAGUGAAAGACGGUUUUGCUGUCACUUAUAGAUGGAUCCGCGCCGCAUUAGCUAGUUGGUAAGGUAACGGCUUACCAAGGCAACGAUGCGUAGCCGACCUGAGAGGGUGAUCGGCCACACUGGAACUGAGACACGGUCCAGACUCCUACGGGAGGCAGCAGUAGGGAAUCUUCCGCAAUGGGCGAAAGCCUGACGGAGCAACGCCGCGGGAGUGAUGAAGGUCUUCGGAUCGUAAAACUCUGUUAUUAGGGAAGAACAAAUGUGUAAGUAACUAUGCACGUCUUGACGGUACCUAAUCAGAAAGCCACGGCUAACUAC